Molecule: ribosomal RNA, 463 nt
Filed under: uncultured bacterium
Lineage: Bacteria
Description: partial 16S ribosomal RNA
Rfam family: Bacterial small subunit ribosomal RNA
Source: RNAcentral
GACGAACGCUGGCGGCGUGCUUAACACAUGCAAGUCGAACGGAAAGGCCUUUUAGGAGGUACUCGAGUGGCGAACGGGUGAGUAACACGUGGGUGAUCUGCCCUGCACUCUGGGAUAAGCCUGGGAAACUGGGUCUAAUACCGGUAAGGCACGCACUCUAGAGUGUGUGGUGGAAAGUUUUUUUUGUGUAGGAUGAGCCCGCGGCCUAUCAGCUUGUUGGUGGGGUAUUGGCCUUCCAAGGCGGCGACGGGUAGCCGGACUGAGAGGUUGGUCGGCCACAUUGGGACUGAGAUACGGCCCAGACUCCUACGGGAGGCAGCAGUGGGGAGUAUGGCACAAUGGGCGCAAGCCUGAUGCAGCGACGCCGCGUGGGGGAUGACGGCCUUCGGGUUGUAAACGCCUUUCGCCAGGGACGAAGCGUUUUGUGACGGUACCUGGAGAAGAAGCACCGGCUAACUACGUG